CAAAGCAAACAAAUUUAAAGAAUCAUUUGUUUCUGCAUAGUGGGGAUAAACCGCAUGGCUGCGAGUUAUGUAAAAAAAGAUUUGCAUUGGCAUGCAACUUGAGGGCACAUAUGAAGACACACGAUGGUAAUCCACAAGACGGAUGCAUUAGAUGUGGAAAAGUGUUUGUUGUCACGGGCAGCGAUCCGCAGCAAAGCAAAAAGUGUACGAAAUGUCUGGAUUUAAGUGAUUCGACUGAUGACGGAGAGAAAUCUGGUUUUCAAUCAGACCAAAGUAUUUCGACCGAAGAAGAAGAAUAUGAGUCUUCAAAUGGUGCAACAGAAUAUAGUGACAAAUGAAUGAAUGAAGAAUUAUGUUAUGUGUAUGUGUACUUACGAUUACGAGGCCAUUCUUUAAGGAUCACUUUAUAGACCGACCGAUGACUGAUGCUAAUAUAAUAAAUUAUUCAGAAUUAGUAUCAGUAGUUUUAGAAUAUGACCAAAAAUUUUAAAUUUUUAUAUCAAUUUAUCGAUUUGUGUGAUUUUAUAUAACAAACAACGCUUACAAACACAAUAAACGAAAACGGAUUUAAUUUAUUAACAUAC
Molecule: long non-coding RNA, 584 nt
Organism: Drosophila innubila
Lineage: Eukaryota; Metazoa; Arthropoda; Insecta; Diptera; Drosophilidae
Exons: 3
Source: RefSeq, a predicted model, not a curated record